Molecule: transfer RNA, 84 nt
Filed under: Ignavibacteria bacterium
Lineage: Bacteria; Pseudomonadati; Ignavibacteriota; Ignavibacteria
Description: tRNA-Leu
Rfam family: tRNA
About the family: Transfer RNA (tRNA) molecules are approximately 80 nucleotides in length. Their secondary structure includes four short double-helical elements and three loops (D, anti-codon, and T loops).
Source: RNAcentral
GCCCGGAUGGUGAAAUUGGUAUACACGCUAGCUUCAGGAGCUAGUCCGAGCAAUCGGGUGGGGGUUCAAGUCCCCCUUCGGGCA